Long non-coding RNA from Juglans regia (Persian walnut), 311 nucleotides. RefSeq lists it as uncharacterized. The record is from RefSeq and is a predicted model, not a curated record. NCBI's taxonomy places the organism in Eukaryota, Viridiplantae, Streptophyta, Magnoliopsida, Fagales, Juglandaceae. The transcript has 3 exons.
UACAGUUUGAUCUACGUGAUCACCAAGCUUGGGCUAUUAUUUGUUUACGACUUGGAGACCGCAACUGCAGUUUAGAGAAAUAGAAUCUGUCCAGAUCCAAUAUUUUUGACAGCAGCUUCACCAGUGGGAGGUUUUUUAUGCAAUCAAUAGGCAUGGACAGUUGAAAAAUUUGGAGCUUGCUGUCAAUCUUGCCAAAAGAGGUUGUCCAACGUUUCCAAGAACGAUUUUCCCAAACAAAGUACAAAGAAGCUGCAGAACUUGCCGCCGAGUCCCCUCAAGGAAUCCUCCGAACACCAGAUAUAGUUGCCAAA